GGCGCGGCGCGGGGCCGCGCGGGGGGGCAUGGUCCGCCCAGGCCGGGCCCUCCGCGCAUUCCUCCCUGAAGAGCCCUGUCACGAGGGAGAGGCUCUUUAAAGAGGAUUUUCAGGCUUAGAAAGCUGCGCUUUAAAGGAUGACCCUUCUGACGCCAGCAUACCUGCCCUGUGCAUACACUUGUGGAAAGUUACUUGGAUUCUGAUCACAGUUUUCACAUUUUGAGUAAAGCAUAAAGAAGCUAUUGCUACAGAGACCUCUCAAUGCUAUAUGGAAGGUUUGGUUUAAAACUAUGAAAUAGAUACAAAUCUCACGGUGCUGCAACAGGUCAAACAAGGAAACUGUAAGAAGUUUGGAAAUAGAAGUGGAAUAAUCUCAAUCACGAAAGCAUCCUAUCUCCUUAAUUUUCAGUGGAAGAUAGAAGUUGAAACUACUACAGGUUUCUUCAUUAAAUAAAUCAAAGACGUUUCAUUAAAUAA
Rhea pennata is the source of this 477-nucleotide long non-coding RNA. RefSeq lists it as uncharacterized. The transcript has 3 exons. NCBI's taxonomy places the organism in Eukaryota, Metazoa, Chordata, Aves, Rheiformes, Rheidae. The record is from RefSeq and is a predicted model, not a curated record.